CAAGGAUCCAGCCCCGGUUCGGAGAGAAAGAGGGGAAAUGGAGGAGAAGGGGAAAGUUGGGAGUGAGAGAUGGAGCGCUGCGAUCGGAAAUCUAUCGGAGAUGACGUCCAAUCUGAACUCACUCCAAAAGCUACUUGUGAAGAAAGCAGUGUUCGUCGACGACGACACUUUUGCCAAAGUUUCUCUCACCUCCGAACAAGCCCGCACUAUUAAGGUUCUUGAACAAAGAGUUCAGACUUUAGAGCGAGAAUUAGAUAAUGCUAUUUCUGCUGCUGCUCAUGCACGGACUGAGAAAAGACAGGUUGAGGUGGCUCAGAAAGCUGCUGAACUACGUGCCCAAGAGGUUACAAAAGAGCUUGAAAAUACCACAAGAGUAUUUGAGCUGCACAUGGAAGAGCUGCGUGCAAAGCAAGAAGAGAUAUCCAAGCGAGACAAGGAAAUUAAACUUUUAGAGGCCAUUAUUCAGACACUUGGAGGCAAAGGCUCCAAUUCUUCCGAUGAAUGAGUAAGGAGGAGAGUCUAUGAUGAUCGUAAUUACCAUGUCAUCUUGUACCAUUUCGUUGUAUAUUAAACAAAAUUUUGUUUUCUAAUGCUGUACCUGAAAG
Molecule: unclassified non-coding RNA, 605 nt
Filed under: Hevea brasiliensis (rubber tree)
Lineage: Eukaryota; Viridiplantae; Streptophyta; Magnoliopsida; Malpighiales; Euphorbiaceae
Source: RNAcentral